Molecule: long non-coding RNA, 439 nt
Filed under: Physcomitrium patens
Lineage: Eukaryota; Viridiplantae; Streptophyta; Bryopsida; Funariales; Funariaceae
Description: long non-coding RNA (PPAT_LNC000100)
Source: RNAcentral
UAGAAUAGAAAUUGCAACAAUAAAAUCUUAACUCUAAUAGAAUACUAACUAAACUCUAAUUAGACCAUAAUAAUGCUAAGCAAGCUUUAAUCAAAUUCAAAGAAACCUCAAAGAAAUUAUAAAGAAAUAAUAAGAAAUCUUAAAGAAAUAGUAAAAUGAUUACAAAUAUAUCUCAAAUACAUCUUAAUUCAAUCUUAACUUAAUCCUAGUCAAAAUCCUAUUGGACUUCAUUCAAACUUUAGGCCAAAAAUUAAUUAAAUCUUAAAUCUUAAAAAAACCCUAAUAAAAUCCUAAAUCCUAAAUCAAAUCCUAAAUCCUAAUCAAAUCCUAAUCAUAAAUCAAAUCUUAAUCAAAUCCUAAUCUUAAAUCAAAUCCUAAUCAGCCUCUAAAUCCUAAACCAAAUUCUAAUCAAACCUUAAAUCUUAAACCAAAUCCUAAA